CUUCUUUUUGAACCAGAAACCAUUUCAUUUGAAACAGCUUUAUUUAAACUGCACUUAUUUAUGCUUCUUGCUUUCCUUUUCAUUUACGUUUUCUUUUCUGUGCUCAUGGGAAACAUAGAUGUUCUCUACCUCACAGAAACAUUGCAAAUGCUUUGUAAGAAGGCCACUUUCAAUCUGUCUCAGUCGUGGCAACAGCACGGUGAAUAGGCCUGGUAACGUGGACUGGUGGCAGUGACGUCGGAGAUGAUGUUGGAUUCCCGGAGGCUUUUGCAUCGACAAGAUAGUCCCGGCAUUGACUCAUGGCUGCUGUACCGGAGGUGCUGCAGUGACAGGAGAAAGGUUCAAAAUGAUCUAACUUGGGAGACAGGCCAUUCAGCCCAACAAGUCCACACUGACUCACCCCCCUACAUUUCCCAUGGCUAAUCUACCGAAUCCACACAUCCUUGGACUGUGGGAGGAAACUGGAACACUCAGAGAAAGCCCACACGGAUAUAAGGAGAACUUGCAAACUCCGCACAGUCACCUGAGGAUGGAAUCGAACCCAGGUCCCUGGCAUUGGAAGGCAACAGUGCUAAGCACUGAGCCCAUUAUAUGCUCCAGACAGUGGAAUCUCAAAAAAAGGACAUGUCUGGGAUCAAGAAAUUGCCCUAGAACUAAACUGUAGCAAGCUCCACAUGUAUAUCAAUAAACAAAGCUUU
Molecule: non-coding RNA, 698 nt
Organism: Chiloscyllium plagiosum (whitespotted bambooshark)
Lineage: Eukaryota; Metazoa; Chordata; Chondrichthyes; Orectolobiformes; Hemiscylliidae
Source: RefSeq, a predicted model, not a curated record